AAGUCGUAACAAGGUUUCCGUAGGUGAACCUGCGGAAGGAUCAUUACAGUGUUAGGCUUCGGCCUCAUUCACACCCCUUGUUGAACCUCUGGUUUCUUUGGCGAUGUCAUGGACUCGUCAAACUUUAACUCUGGGAAUGCGAUACUGUCCGAGUGCAAUCGAAUGAUUAAAACUUUCAACAACGGAUCUCUUGGUUCCA
RNAcentral lists this unclassified non-coding RNA (199 nucleotides) under fungal sp. Its description in RNAcentral is "partial internal transcribed spacer region". The stretch from base 1 to 46 matches the Rfam family "Eukaryotic small subunit ribosomal RNA", at positions 1786 to 1831 of the family's 1831-position model. Lineage: Eukaryota; Fungi. The record is from RNAcentral. RNAcentral also lists the same sequence under 1 other name.